AGAGUUUGAUCCUGGCUCAGAACGAACGCUGGCGGCGUGCUUAACACAUGCAAGUCGAACGUGAUUGAGAGCUUGCUCUCAUGAAAGUGGCGCACGGGUGGGUAACACGUGGAUAAUCUGCCUGGCGAUUCGGGAUAACACUUCGAAAGGGGUGCUAAUACCGGAUAAGCCCACGGACUCUUCGGGGUUUGCGGGAAAAGGGGGCCUCUGUAUAUGCUCCUGUCGCUAGAUGAGUCCGCGGCCCAUUAGCUUGUUGGUGGGGUAAAGGCCUACCAAGGCGAUGAUGGUUAGCUGGUCUGAGAGGAUGAUCAGCCACACUGGAACUGAAACACGGUCCAGACUCCUACGGGAGGCAGCAGUGAGGAAUUUUGCGCAAUGGGGGCAACCCUGACGCAGCAACGCCGCGUGAGUGAAGAAGGCCUUUGGGUCGUAAAGCUCUGUCAAUCGGGAAGAAGUUACUGUAAUCUAAUAGGUGGCAGUAUUGACGGUACCGGUGAAGGAAGCAUCGGCUAACUCCGUGCCAGCAGCCGCGGUAAUACGGGGGAUGCAAGCGUUAUUCGGAAUUAUUGGGCGUAAAGGGCGCGUAGGCGGUUUUGUCGGUCAGAUGUGAAAGCCCAGGGCUCAACCCUGGACGUGCAUUUGAAACAGCAAGACUUGAGUACGGGAGAGGAAAGCGGAAUUCCUGGUGUAGAGGUGAAAUUCGUAGAUAUCAGGAGGAACACCGAUGGCGAAGGCAGCUUUCUGGACCGAUACUGACGCUGAGGCGCGAAGGCGUGGGUAGCGAACAGGAUUAGAUACCCUGGUAGUCC
This 809-nucleotide ribosomal RNA is filed under the name uncultured bacterium. RNAcentral describes it as "bacterial SSU rRNA". It matches the Rfam family "Bacterial small subunit ribosomal RNA", at positions 8 to 796 of the family's 1533-position model. The record is from RNAcentral.